Pelobates cultripes (western spadefoot toad) is the source of this 346-nucleotide non-coding RNA. The record is from the annotation of a GenBank genome assembly. NCBI's taxonomy places the organism in Eukaryota, Metazoa, Chordata, Amphibia, Anura, Pelobatidae.
GGGUGGUGGUUUUAGGUAGUCUGGGAAAUCAAAGAUAAUUUGUAGAUUUCCAACAAUCACUAAGUUUGCUAUUUAGAUUUUUCUUCAGUUUCUGAAUUUGAAUGCUCAUGCAAAGUAUUUACAAGGGGCCAACUUCAGCUGCUAGUCCCCCCCCCCCUCUCCUCUAUCUCUCCUGAGCUGGAGGAGGGUCUCCCUUAUCCUCUGUCUGAGAGCCAGUCACUCCCUGAUACUCUGUGAUUCUCUCCCUGUGGAGCUCAGCCCAGCCCCAGCCCCAGCUCUCUGCAUGCUCAGGGUGUGCAGGGUCCUAGCGGAGAUCAUGGUAUUAACUAGUGAAUUUCUAAUCUUG